GUGGGAGAGAUGGCUCAGAGGUUAAGAACACCGACUGCUCUUCUAGAGGUCCUGGGUUCAAUUCCCAGCAACCACA
This 76-nucleotide transfer RNA is filed under the name Mus musculus (house mouse). Its description in RNAcentral is "tRNA-Ser". Lineage: Eukaryota; Metazoa; Chordata; Mammalia; Rodentia; Muridae. The record is from RNAcentral.